CGCUCAUCUCAUUUGGGCGGCGAAACAAAUUUUGGGCAGUGGAUUCAAAUUUUGAAUCCCUUACUCAUCCCAAUCCCAAGACACUUAUCAUACGCAUACUCUUCACAUAUGCUUUUCUGUUCCUAUUCUUUUUUCUCCCAGAGAAACCCUAAAACACAAAUGAAGUCAGAUCUUGUAGAUUCCAAUUACUUCUCAUUCUCAACAGAAUCGAGUUCUCAUUUUUAUCAAAGUCACCCCGGAAUUAUUCAACGAUUUGGAUGAACAAAGAUCCAUCCAACUCACAUCCAAGUUCUGAAAACCCAAGAUCUAGGAUUUACUUUCAUGUCUGGAAUAAACUGAUUAGGAUGACAGAUCUACAGUUCGUGAUUGCAGUUGGUUGAGAAGACAGCAACUAUUGAUAGUACAGAACUUCAAAAGGGGAGUGAGCCCCCCAAAGAGUUUAUACAAGCCAAAAAAGCAUUAUACUGAAGCUCUCAUUGACGGGCGAGUGCAUUUUAAACUUUUUGAUGACUGCUAUGUCCAGGUAGAAAGCAUCAAGUUCAACAGUGGAGAAAGAGCGCAUCCAGAAAUGCUUAGUUUCUGUAGAGGUUUUCAAGUGCUAGCGGUGGCUCCUCUUAUAUAUUUCAAACUCAAUAAUUUUAAUUAUUUAAUUAGUGAUCAAAGUUGCCUCUUUUAUUUAAAGUAUAAUAAUAAAAAAAGAACGAAAUCGCCUGUUCAUGUUCGUUUCUUUAUUACACGAACAAACACACCGCCAAACGGUUCACGAGCUGUUCGCUUCGCUUCGGUUUUGUUGUGCUGAUGCCGCAACCCCUUUAAUUCAGCUUCUAGGGUUUUGUAUACGAUGAGUCGAUGAUAUUCAUCUUCUACAUAGCUAUUAUUGGUUCACUUGGAGCCUGAAGCGAAAAAAAAUGGUUCCAAGAGAACGUAUGUACCGUGGACCAGCUAGGAACAAGGCUGAUGCAAAUAUGGCGGCGGGUGGCGGCAGCGGAAUGCUUCCCGUACCUUACAAGAUGGCUAGCGUUGGCGGCAUGCUUCCACGCGAUGCCGCGGCUCCCAUCCCACAACAAAUGCCUAUUACAGCGUUGGCUUCCGCUCUUGCUAACCUAUUUAGUAAAAACUAUUUGGUUACAUGUGUUUGCCUUCUUUUCAAGUCUUACUGAAAUUGGUCCAGUUUUCGGUCCUUCAUUUUGUAUAAAAUCGGUCAUCGGGUCGGGUCAAACACUUUGCUCACCCCUAGGCCAAAAUCCACUGCUUUUGAUAACUAUGAGAAGUUGAACAUAAAGUAUAGUUUUUUUUGUUUACUGAUGAAUUACCAGUUUGAGUUUGAUAUAUAGUAACUGUAUUCUGUGUAUUUGGUUUAAAUGAUAGCAAAAAAUAUAUACAUUUAUUACCAUGUUAGUUUUAAGAAUAAUAGUAACUGGAUUCUGCCUAUACCGUAUUCACCAACUAUAUUAGUGAUACAUUUGUCACUUCAUUACUUGCAUGUUUUUCUAAUGUUUCAUGAUAAAUAUUUAUUUUUAUGACUAUCAAAGCUUCAUGAUUUUUGAACCUGUAAUGUGUUAACUGGCCAGCCGAUCAUUCAGGUUAUCUCAAGAAUGCUUCCAGAGGAGAUGAUAACAAACCACUGCUUAUUACAUACUUGUUAUAGCAAAAAUGGAAGGAGCACCUGUCAGUACUGCUCUACACUUAUUACAGCAUUCACAUCCCAUUUACCGUGUCAUCCCCAACCUCAUAAUUUGAUAGCACUGCCUUUCUAGAACACUAUCACAUCCACUGCAUAUUAGCGAGUUUCAUGACUGUCCAAAGUUGAAAAUCUUCUCAAGGGACAACUGAUUGUGUAUUUCUAAGGUUUGCACUUAAUUACCUUUCAGUUAUUGACAAUUGUUUCAUCUUUGGAUACAUAUCUAUGAUAUAAUGCUUUUAGUGUUAUAUAGGUGCGUCAUUACAGGCAAAGGAGGAACACAAUAUUAAUAUCUUGGUAUUUUGCGUACACGUACAUAUAUAUGUUUUGGGCCUGGAUGUUGCCCAGAUAAAUGUGUAACAUGGGCAAGAGGAUUGGUCGACGAAGAAGAUGACCAAUUUCUGGUGCAUUCUUUCAUCGCCCCUGUUUUUUAGUGGGUCACCAUCAAGUAGAGCUUCUUACCCGCGAAUACAGGACACACCAUUUGGGGAUGACGACAAUAUCUUAUCUUUCUCUUCACAUGUUAUUUGAUUUUUUGUAUAAAUUUAAUUUACUCUUUCAUUUUUAAAACCAAGUUCCAGUCCCUUUGAUGGGUUGUUGCUUGUUUUCUAACUUCUUAUGUCUGUUGUAUAAAUAAUGCUUUGACUAGCUUAUGUGACCACUAAGUUUUUUUGGACUUCA
Molecule: long non-coding RNA, 2362 nt
Organism: Helianthus annuus (common sunflower)
Lineage: Eukaryota; Viridiplantae; Streptophyta; Magnoliopsida; Asterales; Asteraceae
Exons: 8
Source: RefSeq, a predicted model, not a curated record